AAGAGAAGUGAAUCCUAAUCUUUUCGGAGUAGUUCCUCUUAGCCACUCUGAUCACCUUUAUCAGUGUUUUUGGCCUGUUUAUACAAGACUCUGUCCCUAUUCCUGUAGGCAUCUUCUUUGGCCUGA
Long non-coding RNA from Sinocyclocheilus rhinocerous, 126 nucleotides. RefSeq lists it as uncharacterized. The transcript has 3 exons. The record is from RefSeq and is a predicted model, not a curated record. NCBI's taxonomy places the organism in Eukaryota, Metazoa, Chordata, Actinopteri, Cypriniformes, Cyprinidae.